UGGAACAAAUUCAAUUACCGGUCCAUAAAAAUUGUUUAAACACAUUAAUUUUACUAUAAUAUGAUAUAUAUUGUUGAAAAAUCAAUACUAUUAACCGAGCUCCGCUCAGAAUCGUUUUCCGUUAGCAACGGUAUGUACCUAUUAAAUUUCCUUCUAUAUCCUACUUUCCCCAGGUUAUGGAAAAAAAAUAGUAUAUUUGAAGUUUAGUUAAUCGACUUUCAAAUACUUAUAUGAAAAAUAAUUUUUAAUUAAAAGCAUUUAAUAAAU
Molecule: non-coding RNA, 267 nt
Organism: Cinara cedri
Lineage: Eukaryota; Metazoa; Arthropoda; Insecta; Hemiptera; Aphididae
Source: the annotation of a GenBank genome assembly